Marmota monax (woodchuck) is the source of this 4380-nucleotide long non-coding RNA. RefSeq lists it as uncharacterized. The transcript is spliced from 4 exons. The record is from RefSeq and is a predicted model, not a curated record. Lineage: Eukaryota; Metazoa; Chordata; Mammalia; Rodentia; Sciuridae.
UUUCUGUAAAGCAAAAGAAAUCUGUGUUCAUAGGCUUUUCUAUAUUAGGUUAUUAGAAAAAUAAACACACUUCAGGGCAUGAGCUCAGUCACUAAACACAAACAGAAACAAAGAUUCUUUUUUUUUUAAACUCAGACAAUGCUUAUUUUACAGCAGAAUUGACAAAUAAAGCUUUAUUUUACACAUUCAAAAAAAAAAAAGCCAUCACCAGAGGUUUAUACCUCUGUUUUGUGUGCUUCUUUCCAAAACAGCAAAAUAGAUAUCCUCCCAUCAAACCCUCCUUCCCUCCCUCAGGGCCACAUGUGGCUGGUGUGGCUUUUUCUCUUCUGCAGACACAGAAACUGGCAGCCCUGGUCCCUCCUGAGUGAACCCUCCUCAAGGGAAGAGUGCCAAAUUCCAAACACAGGAAAACAGGCACAUUAAUAACAACACUGUGCAUUUCUGUGUCAUUUCAUUUAUUGCUCACUGAGUUAUAACCACCUUGGCUCUCCGCAGAAAACAAAGGAUGCCCACCUGGAGAUCAACCACCUGUGGGUCACAAGGUGCAAAGGGCAGCCCUGGCCAGAUUCCAGCUGGAGCCUGAUAGCAUCCUGAAUAGAAACUCAAAUGUCCUGGCUUGUAGCCAGCCUGCAAGACACCACUUCUGGUCACCAUGGGGAAUGAAACCUGGAGAAAGAACUUUAUGAUUUGUACUCAGAGAUGUUCCCCAUCAUAGAGGGGUGAUUUUUCCAGUCAUUCUAUCCAGUGGUGUUCUUCCCAAAGUGAUGGACUCUUGGCUCAGCAACAGGACUUCGAUGAGAAACAGAAGAAAUAGGGGACCUUGUCCUACCCAAGGCUGCUGUUUCAUCAGGAUUUCUUUACUUCAUUUCAGAUCAUCAGUACCCCAAAUUAAUACCCACAAUUCAGGCCAGCUUCAUAAGAAAUGCAAAUUUCCAUCUCAUUCUGGGGUACAUGAUUUUUUUUUGGAUGCCUUCAGUAAAAGAUUUUACCAAGGUGAACUGCUGUGAAGUCAUUUUUGCCUAAGAGGAUCAUCAUGCAAGCAAACUAAUUCUUUUCCUAAGCUACUAUUUGGCAGCUUGCAGAAGACUUGGCUUCACCUUGAGAAACCAUCCUUGGAGUGAUCAGAAGAAAAGGAUAAAGAUUCUUCCUUUAUUCAUCCUCCUUGCUCUCAUUCAGAUGGCAAGCCUGGCUCACGUGUUUGAAGAAGAUGCUACCAUUUAUUACAUACCUACUAUGUGUCAGUCAUUUCAUAUUUAUUCUACAUCAUGACUUAAUCCCCACAACUCCUUUAAGCUGAGUGCCACUUCCUCUUUUUGAAGGUGAGAAGACUAAGGCUUAAAUUAGCUAACUCAAUAGCAUAUAAUCAUACAGCUGUUAGAGACAGAAUCUGAAUCCUGAAAAAUAAAACCAAAUUAGGGGGCAACAGAGCUUUGUUUGACAUUAAUGUACAGGGGAUUUCGCUCAUGGUAGUGAUGUGUUCUGACUGAAACAAGGCUGUCAAAAUAGUGUCUUCUAGUAGCUGACUGUGAGCCUUAAGGCCAUAUUUUAGGGAAGAGUGUGGUGCAAGUGCUAGAGUGGGUUAGAACCCUUUUGUAGACUUUCGUGUCCCUCAUCACUAAGAUCCAAUGCCUUAAUAGAAAUCUAAUAACUCAAAGUUCAAAAGCUACAAAGGAAAAGUCUAUUGACUCACCUAGAAACAUACAGCAUAUCUUGAAAUCUCAUUUUCCAAGAAAAGUGCUGUCAUAGAAUAUUCUAGGAUCUGAAUAAGAAUUUGAAUGUUGUUGGUAGAAUGAAGACCAAAAGAAAAUGAAGACUAUAAGCAUUUAAAAAAAAAUAGCUUUGAAAUUUUGCCUUGGAAUGAUCCAGGUAAGCACAGCCAUUUUGUAAUAGUUGCUAUAAAGAGAAAAAUUCUGUUUUAAAAAUCUCACAUUCAGUUUCCACCACCAUCCGGUCAUGACCUAAGGAAAUUCUACAGUCAUUCUCAUCUUCAUGAAUUAAUGUGACACAAAGGUUGGAAGUUCACACUGAGCAAACAAGUAUAAUUUCACUUUUAUAAACUGCAAAGAUGAACACUUCUCAAAUUAAAAUGAGCUUGAAGCAUAGCACCUCUGUGUCAUAGUAAAAAGACCAAAUGAAUCCUCAGCUGAGCUGUCUUCAGUCAUGAUUACAUCAUUAGAUGAGACUAGAUGAGAGGUUUUUUUUUUUUCAACUUAUAGUAAAUGUGGUAUUUUAAGAACUUAAUCCCAUAAUGAGUGAAAAUAUCAUUGGUUUCCUUUUUAUAGUCAGCAUAAUUAUUUGGAUCCUUUCUGAACACAUAGAAGUAAUGACAAAUUAAAAUACCUUUCAAUUCCAUAUAGCUUUUAUAAUUAUUCAUGCAUUACUGUUAUCAUUGCUGGAAUGGAUCCUUCAGAUUUUAGUCAGCAUUCCAUUUGAAACAAAAGAACAUGGAAAAUUUUAUAGCUAUUAAUAAAUAUGCAGCCAUCCAAUCUAAGAGGAAAAUUCUUUUUCAUCUGAGAGAUAAACUGCAUAAUUCAUGUAUUCUCAGAAAUUUCUUUAAAUAGAAAAUUGAAGAAAAGCAUGAGAAAAAAAUUGUUAUAUUGUUUCUAUUUGCAGUAAGGGACAAUCUUUGUUCUCUAAGUCUUAAAUCUGAUUUGAUUGACAGGUACAAUUUCAGCUGCAUCCUAUAUACGCCAGUCACAUAGUCCAUCCACCAAAUGUUCUAUAUAACAAUAAACAUUAUGCCCACGUGACCUCUGUUUCAUUUUUGCAUAUUUACCAAAAAAAAGUAACUAGAUGUUAAGAGAGACUUUAUUAGUAUCAUGGAAUGUAAUUAGAAAAAAAAUAGAGCCAUUUUGAAUGGAUACCAACAUUCCACUAAAAGAGAAGUUUCCGUGUCAGGGAAUUAUGGAGCUGCAUCUAAUUUCUGUGAACUCCAGACCCCACUGGAGCUCUAGCCCUACAGGGAUGUGAUGGCCUGCAGGACAAGUCAGAUGAGAAUCACACCUGCAAAACCAAGCCCAAUUCUUACAAGGCAACCACUGAGAGGGUUCAAAGUGGUAUCCCAGGAAUUUCUCUGCAGAGAAGAGGCAUUGCAAUGUUGUCAGAGAGCUCAGAGUUUAUGUGCUAACCAGCACCCACUACAAACACAGCCAAAACUUUCAGCAGAUGUCCAUAUUCACUACUGAAAGCUGUCAGCACAUUUUGUCAACACAGCCAAAUUCUCUUAUAAAUGUGCUGAUAGGCCAAAGAAGAGGCUAGAGAAAACCAACGUAUGAGCACGGAAAGGCUCUUAGUGGCUGUGGUCAGUGUGACAAUCUCCAGGGCAUCCAGGUGUGGAUCAAAGUCCUCUACGGAGGACAUCAAUAUCAAUAGUAUCUGCAUAAGACUAACUAAAUGAUGUGGGAACAACUCAUCCAUGAGUAGGAAUCAUCUUACUAAAAACCCGCCAUGAUCUCCCACUCCUUAUGAAGGUAUCCUCCCGAUUGCCCCAUGAUGCAAAGUGAGGUACACUGCUGUGGGGUGUCACUGGAUACUACCUGAGUCCUGUAAUCCACAGAAAAUUCCUUCACCUCUCUGAGCCUCAGUCCUCUAACUUCUAAAUUGGGGGUUAGACAUCUACUGCAUAGGACAUUUGUGAAGUAUAAAGGAGUUAAUGAAUGUCCUUUGUUAGUGGGAAAAUUAGUGAUAAAUAAAGCUAUCCAGAUAGAAAUCUAGAAUUUUAACUUUGUAUUAUCAUAUAAAUUUAAUAUAUAACUCUAAUUAAGAUAAGAUAAUUGUAAAGGUCAGGCGAGCAUCAGAGGAAGAGACCACCAAGAGACUGUCUCAUGCAACAGCAAAGGGUUUAUUGGGGGUCCAGCAUGUUGGGGCUCACAGCUCACUUGAAUAGAGCAAAGAGCCCUGAGAACAGCUUAAGCAGAGCUUAUAUACUUUCCUUGGAGAGGGCAGGGAGGGAAGUUCAUUGAUGGGUCAGGGCGAGUGGGCGGUUUGCCUGCAACCGGGUGAGGGAAUACAUUCUGCAGUUUGGCAGUUGGGGACAGCACAUUCUGGGAACAAGAUUAGCAAACAGUUCUCAAGAUUAUUAACCUUUCAUAAUGAGAUAACACAUUAGCCAAAUAAAACAUCAUCAAUGAUUUGUUUACAUGAAGAAUCUCUGUCAUCAUGGACUUCCAAGUUUCCAAGGAAUCAAAUAUAUUUGAGCUAUUGAGAACAAGACACUUGUCAGAUUGGAGGUGCUGGACACUUUGGCCUAGGAAGAUGGGAAAUGUAAAGAUCAAUGAAACCAGUGGUGGAGUGGGCAGGGCACAGAAGAACAGAGAGGCAUCACAGAGAAGGUUCAGAUAUUGUGGGAGGGGUUGCUUGAAUAAAUUUUCUGCUUUGCAA